AACGAACGCUGGCGGCAGGCCUAACACAUGCGAGUCGAACGCUCUAGCAAUAGAGAGUGGCAGACGGGUGAGUAACGCGUGGGAACCUUCCCAAUGGUGCAGAAUAGCCCAGGGAAACUUGGGGUAAUACUGCGUAAGCCCUUCGGGGGAACGAUUUAUCGCCAUUGGAUGGGCCCGCGUCGGAUUAGCUAGUUGGUGAGGUAAUGGCUCACCAAGGCAACGAUCCGUAGCUGGUUUGAGAGAAUGACCAGCCACACUGGGACUGAGACACGGCCCAGACUCCUACGGGAGGCAGCAGUGGGGAAUCUUGGACAAUGGGCGCAAGCCUGAUCCAGCCAUGCCGCGUGAGUGACGAAGGCCUUAGGGUUGUAAAGCUCUUUUGCCGGGGACGAUAAUGACGGUACCCGGAGAGUAAGUCCCGGCUAACUUCGUGCCAGCAGCCGCCGUAA
RNAcentral lists this ribosomal RNA (449 nucleotides) under uncultured bacterium. RNAcentral describes it as "partial 16S ribosomal RNA". It matches the Rfam family "Bacterial small subunit ribosomal RNA", at positions 29 to 523 of the family's 1533-position model. The record is from RNAcentral.